ACGAACGCUGGCGGCGUGCUUAACCCAUGCAAGUCGAACGGAAAGGCCCUGCUUUUGUGGGGUGCUCGAGUGGCGAACGGGUGAGUAACACGUGAGUAACCUGCCCUUGACUUUGGGAUAACUUCAGGAAACUGGGGCUAAUACCGGAUAGGAGCUCCUGCUGCAUGGUGGGGGUUGGAAAGUUUCGGCGGUUGGGGAUGGACUCGCGGCUUAUCAGCUUGUUGGUGGGGUAGUGGCUUACCAAGGCUUUGACGGGUAGCCGGCCUGAGAGGGUGACCGGCCACAUUGGGACUGAGAUACGGCCCAGACUCCUACGGGAGGCAGCAGUGGGGAAUAUUGCACAAUGGGCGGAAGCCUGAUGCGGCAACGCCGCGUGCGGGAUGACGGCCUUCGGGUUGUAAACCGCUUUCGCCUGUGACGAAGCGUGAGUGACGGUAAUGGGUAAAGAAGCACCGGCUAACUACGUG
Molecule: ribosomal RNA, 467 nt
Filed under: uncultured bacterium
Lineage: Bacteria
Description: partial 16S ribosomal RNA
Rfam family: Bacterial small subunit ribosomal RNA
Source: RNAcentral